Molecule: unclassified non-coding RNA, 573 nt
Filed under: Homo sapiens (human)
Lineage: Eukaryota; Metazoa; Chordata; Mammalia; Primates; Hominidae
Description: ribosomal protein S9 (ENSG00000274950.4)
Source: RNAcentral
GCGCCUCUUUCUCAGUGACCGGGUGGUUUGCUUAGGCGCAGACGGGGAAGCGGAGCCAACAUGCCAGUGGCCCGGAGCUGGGUUUGUCGCAAAACUUAUGUGACCCCGCGGAGACCCUUCGAGAAAUCUCGUCUCGACCAAGAGCUGAAGCUGAUCGGCGAGUAUGGGCUCCGGAACAAACGUGAGGUCUGGAGGCUGGAUUACAUCCUGGGCCUGAAGAUAGAGGAUUUCUUAGAGAGACGCCUGCAGACCCAGGUCUUCAAGCUGGGCUUGGCCAAGUCCAUCCACCACGCUCGCGUGCUGAUCCGCCAGCGCCAUAUCAGGGUCCGCAAGCAGGUGGUGAACAUCCCGUCCUUCAUUGUCCGCCUGGAUUCCCAGAAGCACAUCGACUUCUCUCUGCGCUCUCCCUACGGGGGUGGCCGCCCGGGCCGCGUGAAGAGGAAGAAUGCCAAGAAGGGCCAGGGUGGGGCUGGGGCUGGAGACGACGAGGAGGAGGAUUAAGUCCACCUGUCCCUCCUGGGCUGCUGGAUUGUCUCGUUUUCCUGCCAAAUAAACAGGAUCAGCGCUUUACAA